CGAACGCUGGCGGCGUGCUUACCACAUGCAAGUCGAACGGAAAGGCCUCUUUCGGGGGGUACUCGAGUGGCGAACGGGUGAGUAACACGUGAGUAACCUGCCCUUGACUUUGGGAUAACUUCAGGAAACUGGGGCUAAUACCGGAUAGGAGCUCCUGCUGCAUGGUGGGGGUUGGAAAGUUUCGGCGGUUGGGGAUGGACUCGCGGCUUAUCAGCUUGUUGGUGGGGUAGUGGCUUACCAAGGCUUUGACGGGUAGCCGGCCUGAGAGGGUGACCGGCCACAUUGGGACUGAGAUACGGCCCAGACUCCUACGGGAGGCAGCAGUGGGGAAUAUUGCACAAUGGGUGGAAGCCUGAUGCAGCAACGCCGUGUGCGGGAUGACGGCCUUCGGGUUGUAAACCGCUUUCGCUCAUGACGAAGCUUUGUGUGACGGUAGUGGGUAAAGAAGCACCGGCUAACUACGUG
This 465-nucleotide ribosomal RNA is filed under the name uncultured bacterium. RNAcentral describes it as "partial 16S ribosomal RNA". It matches the Rfam family "Bacterial small subunit ribosomal RNA", at positions 30 to 507 of the family's 1533-position model. The record is from RNAcentral.